ACUAGGUCUACUGGAAGCCAAUUUAACUAAUGAACAGUAAAUACAAGGUGAGUAAGAAGCUGAAUGUAAGUAUAAUAGGAAAUUAACUAAGCAGAUAAACAAAUGACUAUAAGUAACAAUCAAGGUAAAUGACGAUAGCAGUGUAAAGGAAUGUCAAGCAUAGUAGAAGGCUAACUGACCAUGAUCUGCAUAGGCAAAUGUAAAGUAACAGUAAGUGAAUAUCUGCAUGUAAUAUAAACAACUCUCUAUACCUAUCUCUUUACCUGUUGUAUUGUCAUCUUUACACAUAUAGAGAGCGGAAAAGAAAGCAAUUGCAUAAUGUAUGCAUCAAUGUAACUACCACGAAACAAGUGCUGCGAUAAUACCCAAUCUCAACGACCGACUCAUACGUCCGAUCAAGCCUGCGCCCGCCUAGGUCAGAAUCGCACUCCCACAGGUGCACCGUCGACCCCUAGGCUCUACCCUCAUGGGUACACAUAUCACAAACAUAACCAGCCAGCAUCCGGAGCGGCACUCGAAGGGGAUCGACCCCUACCAAGUCACAUGUCACAUAGCACAAGUACUGUCAGCUCAAGGUGGCCUUGCAGGCUAUAGUCUAUGUCAUGGUCAAUAAUAUCACAAUACCCAAUCCGAUGUCCUCAAUGUAAUCAUAGAGUGAACAGUAGGUCAAAUCUCAUAAUCACAUAAACAAAGACCAUCUCUAUGUCCAAAUCUCUGUACACUACUCUCACUCUAUCCACAGUCACUGACAAACAACAUAUGGCAUGCACGAUACAAGUGACUAAUAAUGAUGCAUCAAGAUAACAUUUCUUAUCACAUACUAUAUGCCAUGCACGAUACAAGUGAGUGUUAGAUGACUAAAUCAAGAUACAUGAAACGUUAAUUGGCUUCCCAUGACUGGAACUAAAAUAUCUAAUUAUUGCUAACAAUACUAUUUCAUGGCGAGGAAGAAGUGUAACAUACCAGAUUUUGGUAUAAAAAUAAAAAUAAAUAAAAAUAGUGUGAGCAACUAUUUUUAUUGGAUUUGUAGGAGUAAAACAUAAGUCAGAAAUGACUUGUGCUGAAAUCGGAAUUAAAACAGAAAAUCUAGAAUUUUCUGUUGGAGACGGGACAGAAAAAUAAGCAGAAAAUGCACAGUCUCAGAAAAUUAUGAAAAUUGGCAGAGAUGUCAGAAAUAUUUUUAUGAGGCUAGAUUUAAGGUUUCAUAUUUUUCUGACACCCAUAGAGUGAGAAAUAAAAUCCGAAAGCUAUCUGAUAAAGAUUGCAAUUCGGUACAGUUUU
Molecule: long non-coding RNA, 1281 nt
Filed under: Ananas comosus (pineapple)
Lineage: Eukaryota; Viridiplantae; Streptophyta; Magnoliopsida; Poales; Bromeliaceae
Description: long non-coding RNA (ACOM_LNC041291)
Source: RNAcentral